GAUGAACGCUGGCGGCGUGCCUAAUACAUGCAAGUCGAGCGAACGGACGAGAAGCUUGCUUCUCUGAGGUUAUCGGCGGACGGGUGAGUAACACGUGGUUAACCUACCUAUAAGACUGGGAUAACUUCGGGAAACCGGAGCUAAUACCGGAUAAUAUUUUGAACCGCAUGGUUCAAAAGUGAAAGAAGGUCUUGCUGUCACUUAUAGAUGGAUCCGCGCUGCAUUAGCUAGUUGGUAAGGUAACGGCUUACCAAGGCAACGAUGCAUAGCCGACCUGAGAGGGUGAUCGGCCAGACUGGAACUGAGACACGGUCCAGACUCCUACAGGAGGAAGCAGUAGGGAAUCUUCCGCAAUGGGCGAAAGCCUGACGGAGCACCGCCGCGUGAGUGAUGAAGGUCUUCGGCUCGUAAAACUCUGUUAUUAGGGAAGAACAUAUGUGUAAGUACCUGUGAACAUCUUGACGGUACCUAAUCAGAAAGCCACGGCUAACUCCGUG
Molecule: ribosomal RNA, 497 nt
Filed under: uncultured bacterium
Lineage: Bacteria
Description: partial 16S ribosomal RNA
Rfam family: Bacterial small subunit ribosomal RNA
Source: RNAcentral